RNAcentral lists this ribosomal RNA (456 nucleotides) under Enterobacter hormaechei. Its description in RNAcentral is "bacterial SSU rRNA". It matches the Rfam family "Bacterial small subunit ribosomal RNA", at positions 1 to 453 of the family's 1533-position model. RNAcentral also lists the same sequence under 2 other names. The record is from RNAcentral. Lineage: Bacteria; Pseudomonadati; Pseudomonadota; Gammaproteobacteria; Enterobacterales; Enterobacteriaceae.
AAAUUGAAGAGUUUGAUCAUGGCUCAGAUUGAACGCUGGCGGCAGGCCUAACACAUGCAAGUCGAACGGUAACAGGAAGCAGCUUGCUGCUUCGCUGACGAGUGGCGGACGGGUGAGUAAUGUCUGGGAAACUGCCUGAUGGAGGGGGAUAACUACUGGAAACGGUAGCUAAUACCGCAUAACGUCGCAAGACCAAAGAGGGGGACCUUCGGGCCUCUUGCCAUCGGAUGUGCCCAGAUGGGAUUAGCUAGUAGGUGGGGUAACGGCUCACCUAGGCGACGAUCCCUAGCUGGUCUGAGAGGAUGACCAGCCACACUGGAACUGAGACACGGUCCAGACUCCUACGGGAGGCAGCAGUGGGGAAUAUUGCACAAUGGGCGCAAGCCUGAUGCAGCCAUGCCGCGUGUAUGAAGAAGGCCUUCGGGUUGUAAAGUACUUUCAGCGGGGAGGAAGGCG